GUAUUCCUCAUAUUAUUUUAUUUUGUUUUAAAAUUUGGUGAAUUUCAUAUAUAAAGAAAAUCAUUGUGUUUUGUGGUUAUCUCUGAUCUCUGGUCCAUCUCUAGUCCACAGCUGGUUCACAGAACAGCUCUGGUCUAUGUCACUGAUUUGUAGAACCAAGUUGUUUACAAUUUUAAUUCACAAUUUUUUAAAUAAAAGUGUUUAUUUUUGCCAAUUUGUCCAUUCAUUUUCAAGAAAAAUAUAAGAGGGUUAAUAAAAAUCUAUUAAAUUACCAGCUGUUGUUGAAUAUAGUUUGCAAAAUUUGUCUCAGGAGGAACAUCAAAGUGCCAAUUAAUAGAACCUGUGAAAUAUAUAGAGUUGGUUAAUUUUUCUUUAGGUUAAACAUUUCUCGGUAUACCCAUUUCUCUAUUUCACAAUAAUCAGUAACUCAAUAACAUGAAGGAAUUCAGUGAAGAAGCAGAAUUGCCCAUUCAGGAUAUUAUUCGUACGUGCCAAUGCAAAACCCACAACAAGUACUGUUUGGACUAUGAUGACAAUCAUCUCAAUGUUGAGUGUGCUCUAUUCAAAAAUAUUAAGAAAUCAUUUGGGCAAGAUUGCACAAUGAAAUGUCAAUCUAUACAACAUGGGGAUCAUAUAACAGCUGCCAUUACUUCUAGGGAAGUGUCUGAUGUUGAGUUGUGUUCUUAUAUCACUUACGUGUGUAAAAGAUGUGGCACAGUGCGGGAUUCAGUGGGACGGACAGCUUUACACGUUGCCGCUUCUUGCGGUCGCACGGAGUUAGUUCGAUGGUUAAUAGAGCAGGGUAAAGCUGAUAUAAACGCAAGGGAUAAAGAGUCCGGCUUUACAGCACUGCAUCGAAGUAUAUUUUAUGGUAAAAUUGCUACAGCUGUUCAGUUGAUGAAAUUAGGAGCAAAUCUAAACCAAAAAGACUACGAGGGUUUAACAUUCUUAGAUCAAGCUUUACUUCAUCAAGCGGAUAUUCCUUUAUCAACAUCAGGCCGAUACUAUUACAGUUCGGGUAAAACCACGAUCAAAUUAGCAAAUCUAAAGCGAAAAGACUGGGGUCUAAUAUUCUCAGAUAAAAUUUUACUUCAUCAAGCGGUGCCUUCCUCGAGAACAGGCCUACUGCACACUUUGGGUAAAAGCACGAGCGAAUUAGGAGCAAAUCUAAACCAAAAAGGCUACGAGGAUCGAAUAUUCUUAGAUCAAGCUAAUCAAGCGCUUAUGCCAUUAUCAACAUCCGGCGAACUGUUUACUUGGGGUGAUAAUACCAACAAUUCGUUAGGCACACAACAUCCUAGAAGCACGCCUGAAGUUAUGAGUAUAUUUCAUAAGACCUAUCCCAAAGAAAGUGUGCAAGAUUUUUUUAUUGAUCAGUAUCAUAGUGUAAUAUUGUCACAAUCAGGAAAUGUCUACUCAUGUGGUCAUGGUCAUGGAGGUCGACUGGGACUUGGUAAUGAUCGUACUGAACUGGCACCAAAACAGAUAACAUUUGAAAGGGGAGCUGUAGAAAUUAAAGAAUGCAGUAUUGCUAAGAAUCAUAGCUUAUUUUUAUCUACAGACGGGCAGAUAUAUAGUUGUGGACUGAACACGCACGGAGUUCUUGGUUUUGACUCGUCUGUUACGGAGGUUGUUCGUCCAAAGGCUGUGAAAUGCAAAUCAUUCAUAGAAUCAGUAUUGGCCAGUGAGUAUCAUUCGGUGGCCUGGAAUUCACAUGCAAUGUUUACUUGGGGAUUAAAUGCUGGCCAACUAGGCCUUGGUACCACACUCCAUUAUUUGGUUUAUGCUCCAAAAAAAGUGACAAUUCUGGACUUUAGAGAGAGUUCUGAUAGAAUUAACUUGGUGUGCACCAGCACUGGAGCUAUCGUAAUUAGCACUAUGAGGGGAUUUGUUUAUACUCUACAUGAUCACGAAUGCAGACCCAUUGCUUGGAAAUUACAUGAUAUAUUGGCCAUAUCUGCUGUCGGAGGAAAAUUUAACGAGGAAUUGUACCCCGAAUUGCGAAACAAAAGUAGCGAUCUUAGAAUAGCAAUUGUGAAAACUGACGGAAGUGUACGGAUCUGGCAAAGUUUUGAUCGGGUUUUUCGCAUGUGCCACUUCUCUAUGCAGAGUCCCGGGAUCGUUACCGAUGUCAGCUUUAACGCCUGCCAAUUACUUUUGGUCACCAAACACGGGGAAGCUUUUAAAGGUGAUGUUACCAGGAAAACGUACAAGCGAGGCGUAGAGUAUAAUGGCAGACCAACAAUAAGGGCAAGAAAUGGCCGGUAUCGCUCCUCUGACCGGAAAAUUGACGGACUCAUAGUGAAGUUGGAGAAAAUUCCUCUGGUUUAUCGAGCCCUUAAAAUACGUAGCGAUCCCAAAGGAUCUAAUUUCGGAAUCAUACAGAGUUGGCCAUACAAAAAUUCUCGAUAUCAUCGUUUUGAGGAACAGGACAUUUAUAGUGUAUUAAACGGCGGGCUCAUGGAAUUAUUACAGACAGCGGAUCUAGAAGACGGUCUAGUCGAUGUGGUUAUCAAGGCUAGUAAUCGCGAGUUUUUAGCCCACAGGUACAUUUUAGCCUCCAGGAGUCCCUAUUUUGCAAGGGUUUUAUCGGAGAACCCAAACAUAACCCCAACUAUCGACCUGGAUAAAUUCGAUGCGGAUAUUUUCGAUCAGAUUCUCAGAUUUAUCUAUGGCCGAAGAGAAAACGAAAUAUGUUUGGGGAAAUUUCCAAAGGAAUCGGAUAAGAAGAAAUCCGUUCUAAAAGCGUUUAGAGAUGCGGCGAUUAAAUUCGAAUUGGACGACUUAAAAUAUUUGUUUCAAGAGGUCAAAACGGAUUUAGGGGAUUUUUUGCCGCCGCUUUUUGACAUUUGGACGUUUGAUAGAUUCGCCUUCCAGGAUUUUUUCGACGUCUGGGUAAAGUGUUCGGAUAACACGAUACUCCGUGCUCACAAGUGCGUUCUGGUGGCCAGAUCCGAGUAUUUUUCCAGUAUGUUCUCCGUUAGAUGGAUGGGGAGAAACAAAUCGGAAAUCACUCUAUCGUUCACGGCAGACGUUGUAGAUCGUCUGCUUGAUUUCCUCUACACCGACGCUGUCAAGAAAUUAGACGAAAUCGAGGUGGAUAAAAUCUGCGAUAUAUUCAAACUGGCCGACCUUACAUUAGUCAAAAAACUGGGACAGAUCUGCGAGAAUGCAUUGGCAGAUUCCUUAACCAUCAAAAAUGCACUUCCUCUGCUCACUUUUGCUCUAUCCGUCGCCGCUGUUUAUCUAAAAACGAAUUGUUGUCGAUUUGUACAGCUAAACAUGGCUAAUUUCCUGGAGUUGCGUUUAUUGGAGGACUUGGACGAUGCUGUUCUGGCUGAAUUAUCUGAGUUUUACCAGCAGGCUCUUGAAUUCGGUUCUAAACAAAUAACACCGUACUCUACGGCGCCAUCCUUUGAGCAAAUGACAGGGAUAUGGGCGGAUAUGUCAAAUGACAGGGAUAACGAGGUUUCUAGAAGUAACAAAGUCAAAAGGAAAAAGAGCGCAAAGAGGAUAAGCAGUUCGCAAGACGAUGUACCAGUUGCAGAGAGCUCAAUAGACCCCUCACAGGUGCCAGUUCCAGCUCUACGAAUGAUCCCGAUUUAUCCACAAGUUUAAACAGUGUUUCUCUAACGCCAGGAGGUGAAUUGGUUGGACGUCGGGUCAAGGCCAUAACCGCUGCGCGGAAUUUGGAUUUAAGUGACGAAGAAAAUUUUACGGCGCUUAAUAAAUCGGACGGUUCCAAGAGUCUGAGCGGUUCCUUCGUGGACGAGUACGAGUUUCCGCUGCUGAGCAGUGCGCAGAAGGCUUCGGCGUCUCGAAACACCGCCCACAAAUCGGACGCGAGGCGCAGCAUGCCCAAACUGUCUCAGAAGCAGAGAAAGAGAUUGAGUUCAGAGAGCGGUGGUUCUGGAGCUGUAUCUUCUCCGCCUUUAGCAGAAAGCCCAAAGAAUCCUUGGAAGGUUUUGCCAAGUCCUGUCACCGAAGUUAACAGGAAAGAAGAAGGUAUGGAAAGCAUUAUAAU
RNAcentral lists this unclassified non-coding RNA (4024 nucleotides) under Sitophilus oryzae (rice weevil). RNAcentral describes it as "inhibitor of Bruton tyrosine kinase, transcript variant X3". The record is from RNAcentral. Lineage: Eukaryota; Metazoa; Arthropoda; Insecta; Coleoptera; Curculionidae.